Molecule: long non-coding RNA, 1544 nt
Organism: Oreochromis aureus
Lineage: Eukaryota; Metazoa; Chordata; Actinopteri; Cichliformes; Cichlidae
Source: Ensembl
GCUGAUCAAAGCAAAGCACUGCGACGUCAAGACAGCAACGCCAAGAUGAUCGAUAAUGAAAUCGUACUUGAAGCACUGGGGGUGAUCUGCAAUGCCGAAGUAACUUCUCUUCAACAAAAACAAAGAUCAGAAGUUGACAUCGUUCCUUUCCUUCUCGGAGCUUUAAAAAAUUUAUUCAUAGCUGCUGAAACUCAGCUGCCUAUUACCCAGCUCAUUUCUACAGUUGUGGAUGGAGAUCAAACCUGUUCGGUGUCACAAAGCAGCUUGUCCAGGAUUCUAUAUGGAGAGCAGGUGUCUGGUGAAAGGCCUGGGAGUCAAAAUGAACAUGUAUCAGAAUUUGAAGUAGACAAAAAAAGGCGUUUCAUCAUCGACGAAGAAGAAUUCUUUGACCCCAGAUUUCACUACGACUUUACUGAAAUGAAAGACACAGAUAACUUUUACAGAGGUGACGAAGAGUACCGGCGUCCCUAUGGUUGGAAGCGUUAUGCUCUCAAGGUCCUGGACAAGUAUGAUGGAAAUGAAUGGCUAGGCACCGCAGGCUAUCGCACUUGGUCAGUGUCAGGGGAGUGGCCUGUGUCCUACCAUGGGACAUCUUAUGACUCUGCUUGUGAGAUCAUCAAAGGACGUUUCAAGCCAGGUUGGAUAAACCUAUAUGGCAGAGGGGUUUAUUCUGCACCUGACAUCACUGAGGCCCUCGCUUAUUGUAAAGAUUUCAAGUCCAAAAAAAACGGCAAGACGUACAAAGUGAUUCUGCAGAAUCGGAUCAACCCCAGUUACAGAGAGAAAUGGAACAAUGAUAAGUACUGGCUGGUUCGCAUCGAUCGUGGAUCAUCAGAAGAAGAAGAGGGAAAGAUGGUGGAGCGUGCCAUUCGUCCCUAUGGCCUUCUGUUGAAAGAGUUCUAAAAGACCAAAAAGGUCACUAGAGGUCGCAGAAAAGACUGAACAAAACAAAAGCACUCCACUCUUUUUGGCCUCAGGCUUGGAGGUGCUGAUUCUCAUUCCUGCUGCUUCACAUUUGGCUGCAAACCUCUCCAGUGUGAGCUGGAGGCCACCACCUGAUGAAGUCAAUGGAACCACAUCAUCUGCAAAAAGCAGAAAGCUAUUCUGAGGCCAACAAAGUGGAAGCUUUCUGCAAUCUGGCUACGCCUAGAAAUUCUGUCCAUAAAAAUUAUCAACAGGAGUGACAAAGACAGCCCUUUGUUCCCAUUUAUUCUACCCGAAACUAAUAAAAUUGCCAUAAACAUUCUUAACAGCCUGAAAGAAGAUUUGAAACAAGGAGAAAAAGCUGAGCUAUGUCAAAUUUCAUGAGAACUGGGCUUAAAACCUGUUGUUACAGGUCUUAUGGAUUGAUGAUUGAAAUUUUUUUAUUUAAAUCAAUGUAAGUAUGUACGGAGGAGGUUAGAACAAAGGUACAACAGUUUUUAUAUCCAUCCAAUAACCAUGGUGGAGGCUCUGUCACAGUUUGGGGCUGGAACCUGGAGCCUGGAGAACUAUUCCUAAAGACAUUAAAGAAAAAAUUACAAGCUUGUAUAAGAGAGUUCAGG